GGGCCCAUAGCUCAGAUGGUUAGAGCAGCUGACUCAUAAUCAGCGGGUCCCAGGUUCAAGUCCUGGUGGGCCCA
Molecule: transfer RNA, 74 nt
Filed under: Spirochaetales bacterium
Lineage: Bacteria; Pseudomonadati; Spirochaetota; Spirochaetia; Spirochaetales
Description: tRNA-Met
Rfam family: tRNA
About the family: Transfer RNA (tRNA) molecules are approximately 80 nucleotides in length.
Source: RNAcentral